RNAcentral lists this ribosomal RNA (169 nucleotides) under Zeugopterus norvegicus (Norwegian topknot). RNAcentral describes it as "Phrynorhombus norvegicus (Norwegian topknot) partial small subunit ribosomal RNA". Lineage: Eukaryota; Metazoa; Chordata; Actinopteri; Pleuronectiformes; Scophthalmidae. The record is from RNAcentral.
CACCGCGGUUAGACGAGAGGCCCAAGUUGAUAGACAACGGCGUAAAGAGUGGUUAGGGGCUGCAACAAACUAAAGCUGAAUGCUCUCAAGACUGUUAUACGUACCCGAGAGUCCGAAACCCAACUACGAAAGUGGCUUUAUUAAACCCGACCCCACGAAAGCUAAGGAA